UUUUCUUUGGUCAAACAGAUGGAAGUGGUGCGAAAGUACCAUUCUACACCCAGGAGCAAAUGCUCCUAGUGUGAACAGUAAAAUAAAAAAAAUAGAAAAAAAAAUAAAAAACUCUGAAUUUUUUUUGUGACAUACUUUUACAAGUGUUUCUUGUGCAUGAAAAAUUUCAUCACGAAAUCACAUUCGUAGAAGUCGUGCCGAAAAAAACAAAAUCAGAGCUCCAAAAUGCUUUUGUAAGUAACAUUUUCAGAGCAUCGAUUUUGUUUUUUUAGCACACCUUCCACCAAUGUGAUUUCGCGAUGAAAUUUUACAUGCAGAACAAACGUUUGUAUAAGUAUGCCACAAAAAAAUUCAGAAUUUUUUGACAUUUUUUUUAUUUUUUUUGUUUUACUGUUCACACCAGAAGCAUUUGCUCCAGUGUAGAAACUCCACGUCAGAGGUGGUGUAUCUACUAUCUAGGGGAUGUCAAGCCACCACACCUGCCAUAGUGGUAGCCAUUGUUGGCAAGCGGAGCUCCUACAUGUUAGUAGGAAAUCUUGCCCCUGUGCGCCCGUGAUGGCUUGGCAGCAAGGGUGGCGACAGGUUCUAUAAUAUAAUAUGUUCUUCAGGAAUUAUUCAGUCUUUAGUAUUUUCUUCUUACAAAAAAUGUCACAUUAAGCGUACAAAACCGAUUGAAAUUAGAUCUCUCGUGCUUUCUGCUCCAGCCGUAACUGACUGAUUGAUCGAUCCAGAAAGGAUCCCAUCGCGGCGCUUAUUGUCUCCAUCGCUACCUUGGUGCGUGCUACACCGGUUUCUCAUCUCCCCCGCUUACUAAUUAUGGCUUUUACUAAACACAAGUGCACGUAGGAAUCCAAGUAAAUAGCAACGGCUCUUAUUAAUUGGUUACAUCUCUUUUCCCUUUGUCUCUCUCCAACCUUGAUCUGAAAUAGUUCUCCACAACAAUUAAAUCCCCCUGCUGAAACUGCUCGAUGGGUCCAUCAUUUCAGCUUCAGGUUCAUUCAUCUCUUUAAACCGACCAUGAGAAGGAGGAUCCAUCAAGGCUAGGGACACCUGUAUAUCAGCCAUGACCACCAAUUCGUAGUUUGUAUAUAGUGUGAUCAUCAUUUGAUGCCCUCACCUUCUCAAGUCGUUGUCUCUGCCACCAGCUUGCACUAUGGAAGAAUAUUUGUCUGCUCCCAAAUUUCAUCUUCCCGUGAUUCUUCUUAUCAUUGAUCUUAUGGCUUUUAAUUUUUUAGGCUACACUCUUAUCGAAAGGUGCUCGGGGUUUUAUGCACAAGGCCACCACUGAUUCGUUGUUUCUUAGGUACCUUGCUGUUCACGCUCAUCUCUUAAUUUUCUUAUACACUGAAUGAGCACACACAUCUUUUAGUCUUCUUUUAUGUUAAUUUUGUUGUUCGCAUGAAACUCACAUCUCUGAAUUUAAGUAGUUACAUUGGAUAAGCUUGCAACUUCUGUUUGGAUUAGAUAGCAUAAUAGUUUGGUCCCCUGGAUUCUUCCAUCCAAUGUAUUUCUUCAAAUAGCUAUAAACCAAGGCAAUUUCCCUGAAAAUACCUGCUUCCCCUAAGGCAAUUUCCAUUUGUAUUAUUGGCAAAGAUGGAUAGAGAUGAAAAUUCUUCAAGCUAUCCUAUUAGUCAUUCAGUCUAAUAUUUCUUACUAAGCUGACUGUACAAGUUUAACCUUUGCAAUAAUGCCAUUUUUCCUCCAUAUGCAGGACAGUGUCAACCAUGCAUGCAAGAAUCUCAUGAACUACUCUGCUUUGCUCCUAGAAUUAAGAGUACUGUUGCUUAAAUCAUGAAUAAGUGAUCACUAGGUUGAUCAACUUAUCCUCGCCCAUAUCCGUCGGUAGCAUGGUGGCGGAGGUCGUAGUGGCCGGUCGGCGGCGGCGGAACAAGGCCGGUGGCAGCGACUGUUGGGCAACGUAGCAGAAAUUCAAAAUUUUCCUACGAGUCACCAAGAUCUAUCUAUGGAGAGACUAGCAACAAGGGGAAGGAGAGUGCAUCUACAUACCCUUGUAGAUCGCUAAGCGGAAGCGUUCAAGAGAACGGGGUUGAAGGAGUCGUACUCGUCGUGAUCCAAAUCACCGGAGAUCCUAGUGCCGAACGGACGGCACCGCCGUGUUCAACACACGUGCAGCCCAGUGACGUCUCCCAUGCCUUGAUCCAGCAAGGAGAGAGGGAGAGGUUUGGGAAGGCUCCAUCCAGCAGUAGCACAACGGCGUGGUGGUGAUGGAGGAGCGUGGCAAUCCUGCAGGGCUUCCCAAGCACCACGGGAGAUGAGGAGAAAGAGAGGUAGGGCUGCGCCAGGGAGAGGUGGAAACUCAUCUGUAUGGCAGCCCCAAAACCUCAAGUAUAUAUAGGGGAGAGGGAGGGGGUUGCGCCCCCUAUAGGGUUCUCACUGAAGGGGUGCGGCAGCCCCUAGGUCCCAUCUAGGGUGCGACCAAGGGGUGGGGGGAGAGGGGGAAACUUGCCCCCCAAGUAAGGUGGGUGCGCCCCCUCCCCAAACCCUAGGCGCCUUGGGCCCUUGUGGGGGGGGGGGGGUGCACCAGCCCACCUGGGGCUGGUCCCCUCCCACACUUGGCCCAUGCAGCCCUCUGGGGCCGGUGGCCCCACUUGGUGGACCCCUGGGACCCUCCCGGUGGUCCCGGUACGUUACCGAUAACACCCAAAACUUUUCCAGUGACCAAAACAGGACUUCCCAUAUAUAAAUCUUUACCUCCGGACCAUUCCGGUACACCUCUUGACGUCCGGGAUCUCAUCCGGGACUCCGAACAACAUUCGGUAACCACAUACAAACUUCCUUUAUAACCCUAGUGUCAUCGAACCUUAAGUGUGUAGACCCUACGGGUUCGGGAACCAUGCAGACAUGACCGAGACGUUCUCCGGCCAAUAACCAAUAGCGGGAUCUGGAUACCCAUGUUGGCUCCCACAUGUUCCAUGAUGAUCUCAUCGGAUGAACCACGAUGUCGAGGAUUCAAUCAAUCCCGUAUUCAAUUCCCUUUGUCUAGCGGUAUUGUACUUGCCCGAGAUUCGAUCGUCGGUAUUCCGAUACCUUGUUCAAUCUCGUUACCGACAAGUCUCUUUUCUCGUUCCGUAACACAUCAUCCCGUGAUCAACCCCUUGGUCACAUUGUGCACAUUAUGAUGAUGUCCUACCGAGUGGGCCUAGAGAUACCUCUCCAUCAACCGGAGUGACAAAUCCCAGUCUCGAUUCGUGCCAACCCAACAGACACUUUUGGAGAUACCCGUAGUGCACCUUUAUAGCCAUCCAGUUACGUUGUGAUGUUUGGUACACCCAAAGCAUUCCUACGGUAUCCGGGAGUUGCACAAUCUCAUGGUCUAAGGAAAUGAUACUUGACAUUAGAAAAGUUUUAGCAUACGAACUACACGAUCUUUGUGCUAGGCUUAGGAUUGGGUCUUGUCCAUCACAUCAUCUUCUAUAUCUAAAUAGGAGCCCCCCACUACUUGAUUUCUCUAGCUUCUGGUGCAGCCACGUCAUCGCUAUUUCUUCUAGCCGCCCGAUCUGAUAUCGAUGCAUUUCCUGACUGCUUUUGCCUGUACGAAGCCAACAAGCUGGCCCAUUAAUUGUCACGCUAGGCCUUUCCUAUCCCCGAUUCAUCUUUUCCUCCCUCCCUUUCAGUUCCUUCGCCUUUAAUCCCUCCCCACCUCCCGUGAGCCCCUCUCCCUUCCCAAUCAACCCCGAGGAGUGCGGCCAUAAUAGUCCUCCACCAUCGCUGCUGUGAGCGAGGAAUAACAUGGCCGCAGCCCCCAUUACUUCGUGUGCGCACCGUCGGGUUCGAUGGCAAGGAGCUGCAACGACCAUGACACCGCCGGAUUCAAUGGUGAGGAGCUGCACCAACAAAUUCUACAACCUAGGUACGCUGCCCAUGCUCUCUGCCAUCUUCAAAUCUGCGUAUGACGCCUUCACCUCUCGGCUGCCCGAUGGCACUGAACCCAUAUCCGACCUAUACGACCCCGCCGUCGCAGGAUUCACAGACGAGGAGCCGCGACGACCUUGCCGCUGUUGGGUUCGAUGGCAAGAAUCUGCAGCAGCCCCUUCUGCGAUUGGAGCUCCGCUACCCUCGCUCCCUCCCGCAUCAUUCAAAUCUCGCCAGAUGUGUCACAAAGAAAAGGUGGGGGAAAAGAUGAUAUUUUGUUUUCCUGCUGCAUAAUUGAUUUGAAUCGAAAUUUGUCUGAGUGUUAAUGAAUAGUGAGCAUCUGACAUUUGUUAGGAUGAUAGUUCAUGUAAUUGGUAUUGUCUGAAGAGGUUGUAUUCCAAAAAAAUCAUCAUGAGAUUUUGGGCGUUGCAUACAUGAUUGUAGUACAAUUAUGAACGAAAAGUGAUUGUGCUUUCUUUAUUUCUUUGGUUCAUUACAGUUAUGACCUACACAACAGAUAAUUGUAUCAGCAUGCUUUUGACUGUGUUAUCCCUUCAUUGUUGUAUAGAUAGGAUGUUGACAGGGAAACAACAACAAUGGUCAAAAAAUUCCUAGGAUAAUACAUGAAGGGCGAACAAUCUAGCAAGGUAAUGUUCUAUACUUCAUAUUGUCACAUGGCAAUAGCGUCAAGACUGAUUAAAUAUUAGUCUACACAUCAGGCCAUCAUGGUUAGAUUCAGUAUGAUGGGAACCUUUACAAUUCACUUUGAUGAGGCUAAAAUGGAGAUUAUGCAACCUACAGUAAACUUAUUUACUUUUAUGAAGGCAUGCAUAUAGCGAUUUUACUGGAUAUUUUGAGCAAUAAGGAUCCAUGUUGUGUGUAGCCUUCAAACUUUUCUUACAAGUUUUAUGGAAUGAUGGCACUGUUCAUGUAUCAAAAAGCUUAUUCCUCUAUUAAACGUGUCACGACAGUUGGCAUCCUCCAUUUGAUACAAUAUAUAUGUUUCUGUUUCCUUCUUACCAAAGCAUAUGCACUAAUGACCUUAGUGUCACCAUCAUUUUCUUCACCUUUUGUACAGAUCCACCAGGGACGAUUCAUGCCACAUCUGGACGUCAGUUCACUAAACAAAUUAUACCCUCAUGCAUCUAUAUUUCUCUUCCAUUUUUCUAUUGUGCAUGGUUAUACAUUGAGAUGUUAAUAUAGUGAGAUAUAUACUUAUAUAAGGAUGUUCGGUACCUUGCUAUUUUUUCAAUGCUAACCCUGAUUUAUGAGCUUCGACAGGUACACUUUUCUGAACUCUUACUAGCUUUUGUGAUUAGAGUAUUUGGAUUACAUACAUAUUAUUAAGCCUGUUACCGAUUCUCUCUAGCAUUUUGUGAAAUACUUCUUAGUUUGACUUCUCCCGAGGAAACUUGGAAGGGAGAGAGGUUUAGAUGUUCUGUGUUCAGCAGGUUAACUGCACUUACAUGAUAUUGGUAUCUCUAUUCAAUGUCUUUUGAUAAUGAGGAUUGCAGAUUAUUUGCAAUUUCCAAUUCGAUAGUGGGACUUGCAAGUUGGUACCAUUGGCUAUCAACUAAACUGGUAUUGUUUUUGCUCUGGAUGAUAUCUUGGUCACUACAUGCAAAUAUUUUGUAGACAGCAAUUGUCUGUUCAGAGUGUCACUAUAACUUCUGCAUUCUUCUACAGUGACACUUCAUGUUGAGUGCACAUGAUUUAUCACUGCAUGUUCUAUUUGUUUUGCAGGUCACAGAUUAUGCGUACUCUUUUAAAGUCAUUUUCUUAUGCUAAUUCUGCUAAUAGGAUGGUGUUUUUAUUCUGGUAUUCAUGUUAUCAGGAUAUUUAGCUUAUUUCAGUUUGAGGAGAAAUAAGCUAACUGACCAUGUCAUUGUUUAUUAGGACAGUGUACUAUUGACCUCAACUAGAUAUGCAAGAAAUGAUUUAGGACAUGUGAUUUUAUGUAUGGAUUUCCACAACAAGAAACUCUUUCAAUUUCUUCAUUAUAGAUACAAACUAUGAUUUUGAGCUCAGUAAACAACUGAACAUAUUGAUAGUUCAUGAGCAUUUCUCUGAUUGUGCAAGUAAGCUAGAAACCUGCUCAAUUGUGCCACAAUUUCAUUCGUACAUGAUGCAUAACAUUCCGCAGCAACGCGUGGGGUAUCUUCUAGUUCUCCUAAUGAUGUGAUCCCGUUAUCAACGACAUCUAAUGUCCAUGGUCAGGAAACCGUAACCAUCUAUUGAUCAACGAGCUAGUCAACUAGAGGCUUACUAGGGACAUGGUGUUGUCUAUGUACCCACACAUGUAUCUGAGUUUCCUAUCAAUACAAUUAUAGCAUGGAUAAUAAACGAUUAUCAUGAACAAGGAAAUAUAAUAAUAACUAAUUUAUUAUUGCCUCUAGGGCAUAUUUCCAACAGUCUCUCACUUGCACUAGAGUUAAUAAUUUAGUUCACAUCGCCAUGUGAUUAACACUGAUAGGUCACAUCGCCAUGUGACCAACAUCCAAAGAGUUUAUUAGUGUCACUAAACUAGUUCACAUCACCAUGUGAUUAAGACUCAAUGAGUUCUGGGGUUUAAUCAUGUUUUGCUUGUGAGAGAGGUUUUAGUCAACGGGUCUGAACCUUUAUGAUCUGUGUGUGCUUUGCAAAUCUCUAUGUCAUCUCUUAGAUGCAGCUACCACACUCUAUUUGGAGAUAUCCCAAAUAACUGUUCUACUAUACGAAUCUGGUUUACUACUCAGAAUAAUUCGGAUUAGUGUCAAAGUUCGCAUCGGCGUAACCCUUUACGACGAACUCUUUUACCACCUUCAUAAUCGGAAAAAUUCCUUAGUCCACUAGUUACUAAGGAUAAGUUUGACCGCUGUCCUGUGAUCCACUCCUGGACCACUCCUGUACCCCUUGACUGACUCAUGGCAAGGCACACUUUCGGUGCGGUACACAACAUAGCAUACUAUAGAGCCUACGUCUGAAGCAUAGGGGAUGACCUUCGUCAUUUCUCUCUCUUCUGCCGUGGUCGAGCUUUAAGUCUUAACUUCAUACCUUACAACUCAGGCAAGAACUCCUUUGACUGAUCCAUCUUGAACACCUUCAAGAUCAUGUCAAGGUAUGUGCUCAUUUGAAAGUACCAUUUAGCGUUUUAUAUUUAUCCUCAUAGAUCUUGAUGCUCAAUGUUCAAGCAGCUUAAUCCAGAUUUUUUAUUGAAAAACACUUUUCAAAUAACCCUAUAUGCUUUCCAGAAAUUCUACAUCAGUUCUGAUCAACACUAUGUCAACAACAUAUACUCAUCAGAAAUUCUAUAGUGCUCCCACUCACUUCUUUGGAAAUACAAGUUUCUCAUAAACUUUGUAUAAACCCAAAAUCUUUGAUCAUCUCAUCAAAGCGUACAUUCCAACUCCGAGAUGCUUACUCCAGUCCUUAGAAGGAUUGCUGGAGCUUUGCAUACUUGUUAGCAUCUUUCAGGAUUUGACACUGGUUGUAUCACAUAUAACCUUUCCUCAAGAAUAUCGUGGAGGAAACAAUGUUUUGACAUCCUAUCUGCAAGAUUUCAUAAAUAAUGCAGUAACUGCUAAUUCAAUUCCAACGGACUCUUAGCAUCGCUAAGAGUGAGAAAGCCUCACCGUAGUCAACUCCUUAAACUUGUCGAAAAAUAUCUUAACGACAAGUCGAGCUUUCUUAAUGGUAAUACUUACCAUCAUUGUCUGUCUUCCUUUUAAAAUUCAUAUGUACCCAACAACCUUACGACCAUCAAGCAGUUCUUCCAAAGUCCCCACUUUGUUCUCAUACAUGGAUCUUCUCUCGGAUUUUAUGGCCUCUUAGCCAUUUGUCAGAAUCCGGGCCCACCAUCGCUUCUCCAUAGCUCGUAGGUUCAUUGUUGUCUAGCAACAUGACCUUCAAGACAGGGUCACCGUACUACUCUGAAGCAGUACCUGUCCUUGUCGUCCUACGAGGUUUGGUAGUGACUUGAUCCGAAGUUUCAUGAUCACUAUCAUAAGCUUCUACUUCAAUUGGUGUAGCUGCCACAGGAACAACUUCCUAUUUCCUGCUACACACUAGUUGAAGUGAUGGUUCAAUAACCUUAUCAAGUCUCCACCAUCCUCCCACUCAUUCUUUCGAGAGAAACUUUUCCUCGAGAAAGGACCCGUUUCUAGAAACAAUUACUUUUGCUUCCGGAUCUGAAAUAGGAGGUAUACCCAACUGUUUUGGGUGUCCUAUGAAGAUGCAUUUUAUCCGCUUUGGGUUCGAGCUUAUCAACCUGAAACUUUUUCACAUAAGCUUCGCAUCCCCAAACUUUUAAAAAACGAUAACUUAGGUUUCUCCAAACCAUAGUUCAAACGGUGUCGUCUCAACGGAAUUACGUGGUGCCCUAUUAAAGUGAGUGCGGUUGUCUCUAAUGCCUAACCCAUGAACGAUAGUGGUAAUUCGAUAAGAGACAUCAUGGUACGCACCAUAUCCAAUAGGGUGCAACUAUGAUGUUCAGACACACCAUCACACUAUGGUGUUCCAGGCGGUGUUAGUUGUGAAACAAUUUCCACAAUGUCUUAAUUGCGUGCCAAAGCUCGUAACUCAGAUACUCAUCUCUAUGAUCAUAUCAUAGACAUUUUAUCCUCUUGUCACGAUGAUCUUCAACUUCACUCUGAAAUUACUUGAACCAUUCAAUAAUUCAGACUUGUGUUUCAUCAAGUAAAUUUACUCAGUAUCUACUCAAAUCACCCGUGAAGUAAGAACAUAACGAUAUCCACUGCGUGCCUCGGCACUCAUUGGACUGCACACAUCAAAAUGUAUUACUUCCAACAAGUUGCUUUCUUGUUUCAUUUUACUGAAAACGAGGCUUUCAGUCAUCUUGCCCAUGUGGUAUGAUUUGCAUGUCUCAAGUGAUUCAAAAACAAGUGAGUCCAAACGGUCCAUUUGCAUGGAGUUUCUUCAUGCAUAUACACCAAUAGACAUGGCUUGCAUGUCUCAAACUUUUCAAAAUGAGUGAGUCCAAAGAUCCAUCAACAUGGAGCUUCUUCAUGCGUUUUAUACCAAUAUGACUUACAUGGCAGUGCCACAAGUAAGUGGUACUAUCUUAUAUCUUUUGGCAUGAAAAAUGUGUAUCACUACGAUCGAGAUUCAAUAAACCAUUCUUUAUGGUGCAAGACCAUUGAAGGUUUUAUUCAAGAGUAACCAUUAUUCUCCUUAAAUGAAUAACCGUAUUGCGAUAGACAUAAUCCAAUCAUGUCUAUGCUCAAUGCAAACACCAAAUAACAAUUAUUUAGGUUUAACACCAAUCUCGAUGGUAGAGGGAGCAGGCGAUGCUUGAUCACAUCAACCUUUGGAAAUCACUUCCAACACACAUCGUCAUCUCACCUUUAGCUAGUCUCCGUUUAUUCCGUAGCUCUUUUAUUUCGAGUUACUAACACUUAGCAACCGAACCGGUAUCUAAUACCCUGGUGCUACUAGGAGUACUAGUAAAGUACACAUUAACAUAAUGUAUAUCCAAUAUACUUCUAUCGACCUUGCCAACCUUCUCAUCUACCAAGUAUCUAGGGUAGUUCUGCUUCAGUGUCCGUUCCCUCAUUACAGAAGCACUUAGUCUCGGGUUUGGGUUUAACCCUGGGUUUCUUCACUGGAGCAGCAACUGAUUUGCCAUUUCAUGAAGUACCCCUUCUUACCCUUGCCCUUCUUUAAACUAGUGGUUUCACUAACCAUCAACAAUUGAUGCUCCUUCUUGAUUUCUACAUUCGCGGUGUCGAACAUUGCGAAUAGCUCAAGGAUCCUCAUAUCUAUCCCUGUUAUUUUAUAGUUCACCACGAAGCUCUAGUAGCUUGGUGGCAAUGUCUUUGGAGAAACAUCACUAUCUCAUCUAGAAGAUUAACUCCCACUCGAUUCAAGUGAUUGUUGUACCCAGACAAUCUGAGUACAAGCUCAACGAUUGAGAUCUUCUCCCUUAAUUUGUAGGCUAGAAAACUCGUCGGUGGUCUCAUACCUCUUGACGUGGGCACGAGCUUGAAAUCCCAAUUUUAGCUCUUGGAACAUCUCAUAUGUUCUGCGACAUUUCAAGAAUGUCUUCGGUGCCUCAAUUCUAAACCAUUUAACAUUACCGAACUAUCAUGUAGUCAUCAACACGUGUAUGUCAGAUGUUCGCAACAUCCACAGACCAUGUUCGAGGUCCAGCACACCGAGCGGUGCAUUAAGGACAUAAGCCUUCUACUGCCCGCAUAAUUUCUACUGUCAACUUUCAACUAUAUUUUCUCUAGGAACAUAUCUAAAAUAGUAGAACUAAAGCGCGAUGCAUGACAUAAUUUGCAAAGGGCUUUUGACUAUGUUCAGGAUAAUUAAGUUCAUCUAAUGAACUCCCACUCAGAUAGACAUCCCUCUAGUCAUCUAAGUGAUUACAUGAUCCGAGUCAACUAGGCCGUGUCAUAUCAUCACGUGAGACGGACUAGUCAUCAUCGGUGAACAUCUUCAUGUUGAUCGUAUCUACUAUACGACUCAUGGUCGACCUUUCGGUCUCUUGUGUUCCGAGGCCAUGUCUGUACAUGCUAGGCUCGUCAAGUUAACAUAAGUGUUUUGCGUGUGUAAAUCUAGCUUACACCCGUUGUAUGUGAACGUUAGAAUCUAUCACACCCGAUCAUCACGUGGUGCUUCGAAACGACGAACUUUCGCAAUGGUGCACAUUUAGGGGGAACACUUUCUUGAAAUUUUAAUGAGGGAUCAUCUUAUUUACUACUGUCGUUCUAAGCAAAUAAGAUGCAUAAACAUGAUAAACAUCACAUGCAAUCAAAUAGUGACAUGAUAUGGCCAAUAUCAUUUUGCUCCUUUUGAUCUCCAUCUUCGGGGCUCCAUGAUCAUCAUCGUCACCGGCAUGACACCAUGAUCUCCAUCAUCGUGUCUCCAUGAAGUUGUCUCGCCAACUAUUACUUCUACUACUAUGGCUAAUGGUUUAGCAAUAAAGUAAAGUAAUUACAUGGCGUUGUUCAAUGACACCCAGGUCAUACAAUAAAUUAAGACAACUCCUAUGGCUCCUGCCGGUUGUCAUACUCAUUGACAUGCAAGUUGUGAUUCCUAUUACAAGAACAUGAUCAAUCUCAUACAUCACAUAUCAUUCAUCACAUUCUUUUUGGCCAUAUCACAUCACAUAGCGUACCCUGCAAAAACAACUUAGACGUCCUCUAAUUGUUGUUUGCAUGUUUUACGUGGCUGCUAUGGGUUUCUAGCAAGAACGUUUCUUACCUACGUAAAAGCCAAAAUGUGAUAUGCCAAUUGCUAUUUACCCUUCAUAAGGACCCUUUUCAUCGAAUCCGAUCCGACUAAAGUGGGAGAGACUGGCACCCGCUAGCCACCUUAUGCAACAAGUGCAUGCCAGUCGGUGGAACCUGUCUCACGUAAGUGUACGUGUAAGGUCGGUCCGGCCGCUUCAUCCCACAAUUCCGUCGAAACAAGAUUGGACUAGUAACGGUAAGCAUAUUGAACAAAAUCAACGCCCACAACUACUUUGUGUUCUACUCGUGCAAAGAAUCUACGCAAUAGACCUAGCUCAUGAUGCCACUGUUGGGCAACGUAGCAGAAAUUCAAAAUUUUCCUACGAGUCACCAAGAUCUAUCUAUGGAGAGACUAGCAACGAGGGGAAGGAGAGUGCAUCUACAUACCCUUGUAGAUCGCUAAGCGGAAGCGUUCAAGAGAACGGGGUUGAAGGAGUCGUACUCAUCGUGAUCCAAAUCACCGGAGAUCCUAGUGCCGAACGGACGGCACCUCCGUGUUUAACACACGUGCAGCCCGGUGAUGUCUCCCAUGCCUUGAUCCAGCAAGGAGAGAGGGAGAGGUUGGGGAAGGCUCCAUCCAGCAGCAGCACAACGGUAUGGUGGUGAUGGAGGAGCGUGGCAAUCCUGCAGGGCUUCACCAAGCACCACGGGAGAUGAGGAGAAAGAGAGGUAGGGUUGCGCCAGGGAGAGGUGGAAACUCAUCUGUAUGGCAGCCCCAAAACCUCAAGUAUAUAUAGGGGAGAGGGAGGGGGCUGCGCCCCCUCUAGGGUUCCCACCCAAGGGGUGCGGCAGCCCCUAGAUCCCAUCUAGGGUGCGGCCAAGGGGGGGGGGGACAGGGGGAAACUUGCCCCCCAAGUAAGGUGGGUGCGCCNNNNNNNNNNNNNNNNNNNNNNNNNNNNNNNNNNNNNNNNNNNNNNNNNNNNNNNNNNNNNNNNNNNNNNNNNNNNNNNNNNNNNNNNNNNNNNNNNNNNNNNNNNNNNNNNNNNNNNNNNNNNNNNNNNNNNNNNNNNNNNNNNNNNNNNNNNNNNNNNNNNNNNNNNNNNNNNNNNNNNNNNNNNNNNNNNNNNNNNNNNNNNNNNNNNNNNNNNNNNNNNNNNNNNNNNNNNNNNNNNNNNNNNUGGGGCUGGUCCCCUCCCAAACUUGGCCCAUGCAGCCCUCUAGGGCCGGUGGCCCCACUUGGUGGACCCCCGGGACCCUCCCGGUGGUCCCGGUACGUUACCGAUAACACCCGAAACUUUUCCGGUGACCAAAACAGGACUUCCCAUAUAUAAAUCUUUACCUCCGGACCAAUCCGGAACUCCUCGUGAUGUCCGGGAUCUCAUCCGGGACUCCGAACAACAUUCGGUAACCACAUACAAACUUCCUUUAUAACCCUAGCAUCAUCGAACCUUAAGUGUGUAGACCCUAUGGGUUCGGGAACCAUGCAGACAUGACCGAGACGUUCUCCGGCCAAUAACCAACAGCGGGAUUUGGAUACCCAUGUUGGCUCCCACAUGUUCCACGAUGAUCUCAUCGGAUGAACCACGAUGUCGAGGAUUCAAUCAAUCCCGUAUUCAAUUCCCUUUGUCUAGCGGUAUUGUACUUGCCCGAGAUUCGAUCGUCGGUAUCCCGAUACCUUGUUCAAUCUCAUUACCGGCAAGUCUCUUUACUUGUUCCGUAACACAUCAUCCCGUGAUCAACCCCUUGGUCACAUUGUGCACAUUAUGAUGAUGUCCUACCGAGUGGGCCCGGAGAUACCUCUCCGUCAACCGGAGUGACAAAUCCCAGUCUCGAUUCGUGGCAACCCAACAGACACUUUCGGAGAUACCCGUAGUGCACCUUUAUAGCCACCCAGUUACGUUGUGACGUUUGGUACACCCAAAGCAUUCCUACGGUAUCCAGGAGUUGCAUAAUCUCAUGGUCUAAGGAAAUGAUACUUGACAUUAGAAAAGCUUUAGCAUACGAACUACACGAUCUUUGUGCUAGGCUUAGGAUUGGGUCUUGUCCAUCACAUCAUUCUCCUAAUGAUGUGAUCCCGUUAUCAACGACAUCCAAUGUCCAUGGUCAGGAAACCGUAACCAUCUAUUGAUCAACGAGCUAGUCAACUGGAGGCUUACUAGGGACAUGGUGUUGUCUAUGUAGCCACACAUGUAUCUGAGUUUCCUAUCAAUACAAUUAUAGCAUGGAUAAUAAACGAUUAUAAUGAACAAGGAAAUAUAAUAAUAACUAAUUUAUUAUUGCCUCUAGGGCAUAUUUCCAACAGCGACGAUGCUCUGUCUGGAUCCCGGGGCGGCGGUCCUGGAUGGUGGUGGCGUGUGAAGCUCGGACUUCCCGCGGCGGCAUGGCGUGGUGCAGUCCCUGUCCAAGGCGGAUAUGUGACGGUGAUCUGUUUGCAGAUUGGUUCGGAUCAGAGACGGUGACAAGCGCGCGGGAUCCAUCUCGGCGGCUCUCGCGGUUUGGCGAGGUGGAGUGAGAGCCCUCUUCCCAGGCUCCACUGGAGGCACAUUCUAGCAGUGGCAGGUGCGCCAGGACUCCUACAGUGGCACUGCUGUUUGCGGUUGGUCGCCAGAUCUAGGUGGCUAGAUCUGGGGCUUUGAAGGCGGUCGAGACGGUGCACAGGUUGUCGGGUGAAUUCCUUGGGACGGAUCCGGGUGAAAACCUGGUUUUCGGUCAUUGGCCGAGCCGGUGAUGACGAUGCCCUUAUCAUCGUUUCCUUCAUGAAGGCAUCAUUGAGGUACAAAUCCCAAACCCACCCAAUACCUCCGGGGGAAACCCUAGAUCAAUUGAUCGGAUGACGGCGACAUUCAUGUGCCCUCACUGUUGGGGAACGUAGUAAUUUCAAAAAAUUUCCUACGCACACGCAAGAUCAUGGUGAUGGCAUAGCAACGAGAGGGGAGAGUGUUGUCCACGUACCCUCGUAGACCGUAAGCGGAAGCAUUAGCAAAACGCAGUUGAUGUAGUCGUACGUCUUCACGGUCCGACCGAUCCAAGCACCGAACGUACGUCACCUCCGAGUUCAGCACACGGUCAGCUCGAUGACGAUCCCCGGGCUCCGAUCCAGCAAAGCUUCGGGGAUGAGUUCCGUCAGCACGACGGCGUGGUGACGAUGAUGAUAUUCUACCGGCGCAGGGCUUUGCCUCAACUCUGCGACGAUAUGACCGAGGUGGAAUAUGGUGGAGGAGGGCACCGCACACGGCUAAGGAAUGAUCCGUAGAUCAACUUGUGUGUCUAUGGGGUGCCCCUGCCCCCGUAUAUAAAGGAGCCAGGGGGGAGGAGGCGGCCGGCCAAGGAGGGCGCGCCAAGGGGGGAGUCCUACUCCCACCGGGAGUAGGACUCCCUUCUUUCCUAGUUGGAAUAGGAGAAGGGGGGAAAGAGGAGGAAGAGGGGAAGGAAAGGGGGGGCGCCCCCCUUCCCUUGUCCUAUUCGGACUAGGAAGGGGAGGGGCGCGCGGCCCCCUCCUGCCUCCUUCCCUCUUCUCCCUCGAGGCCCAUGUAGGCCCAAUAACCCCCCCCGGGGGGGGGGGGGUUCCGGUAACCUCCCGGUGCUCCGGUAAAAUACCGAUUUCACCCGGAACGAUUCCGAUGUCCAAAUAUAGGCUUCCAAUAUAUCGAUCUUUAUGUCUCGACCAUUUCGAGACUCCUCGUUAUGUCCGUGAUCACAUCCGGGACUCCGAACAAACUUCGGUACAUCAAAACUUAUAAACUCAUAAUAAAACUGUCAUCGUAACGUUAAGCGUGCGGACCCUACGGGUUCGAGAACUAUGUAGACAUGACCUAGAACUAUUCUCGGUCAAUAACCAAUAGCGGAACCUGGAUGCCCAUAUUGGUUCCUACAUAUUCUACGAAGAUCUUUAUCGGUCAAACCGCAUAACAACAUACGCUGUUCCCUUUGUCAUCGGUAUGUUACUUGCCCGAGAUUUGAUCGUCGGUAUCCAAUACCUAGUUCAAUCUCAUUACCGGCAAGUCUCUUUACUCGUUCCGUAAUGCAUCAUUCCGUAACCAACUCAUUUGGUCACAUUGCUUGCAAGGCUUAUAAAGAUGUGCAUUACCGAGAGGGCCCAGAGAUACCUCUCCGACAAUCGGAGUGACAAAACCUAAUCUCGAAAUACGCCAACUCAACAUGUACCUUCGGAGACACCUAUAGUACUCCUUUAUAAUCAUCCAGUUAUGUUGUGACGUUUGGUAGUACCCAAAGUGUCCCUCCAGUAAACGGGAGUUGCAUAUUUCUCAUAGUUAUAGGAACAUGUAUAAGUCAUGAAGAAAGCAAUAGCAAUAUACUAAACGAUCAAGUGCUAGGCUAACGGAAUGGGUCAUGUCAAUCACAUCAUUCUUCUAAUGAUGUGAUCCCAUUAAUCAAAUGACAACACAUGUCUAUGGUUAGGAAACAUAACCAUCUUUGAUUAAUGAGCUAGUCAAGUAGAGGCAUACUAGUGACUAUAUGUUUGUCUAUGUAUUCACACAUGUAUCAUGUUUCCGGUUAAUACAAUUCUAGCAUGAAUAAUAAACAUUUAUCAUGAUAUGAGGAAAUAAAUAAUAACUUUAUUAUUGCCUCUAGGGCAUAUUUCCUUCAGUCUCCCACUUGCACUAGAGUCAAUAAUCUAGAUUACAUAGUAAUGAUUCUAACACCCAUGGAGUCUUGGUGCUGAUCAUGUUUUGCUCGUGAGAGUGGCUUAGUCAACGGGUCUGCAACAUUCAGAUCCGUAUGUAUCUUGCAAAUCUCUAUGUCUCCCACUUGGACUUGGUCCUGAAUGGAAUUGAAGCAUCUCUUGAUGUGCUUGGUCCUCUUGUGUAAUCUGGAUUCCUUUGCCAAGACAAUUGCACCAGUAUUGUCACAGAAGAUUUUUAUUGGUCCCGAUGCACUAGGUAUGACACCUAGAUCAGAAAUGAACUCCUUCAUCCAGACUCCUUCAUUUGCUGCUUCCGAAGCAGCUAUGUACUCCGCUUCACAUGUAGAUCCCGCCACGAUGCUUUGUUUAGAACUGCACCAACUUACAACUCCACCGUUUAAUAAAAACACGUAUCCGGUUUGCGAUUUAGAAUCGUCCGCAAAAGCUUGCAUCGACGUAACUAUUUACGACUAACUCUUUGUCACCUCCAUAUACGAGAAACAUAUCCUUAGUCCUUUUCAGGUAUUUCAGGAUGUUCUUGACCGCUGUCCAGUGAUCCACUCCUGGAUUACUUUGGUACCUUCCUGCCAAGCUUAUUGCUAAGCAUACGUCAGGUCUGGUACACAACAUUGCAUACAUGAUAGAGCCUAUGGCUGAAGCAUAGGGAACAUCUUUCAUUUUCUCUCUAUCUUCUGCUGUGGUCGGGCAUUGAGUUUGACUCAACUUCACACCUUGUAGUACGGGCAAGAACCCUUUCUUUGCCUGAUCCAUUUUGAACUUUUUCAAAAUUUUAUCAAGGUAUGUGCUUUGUGAAAGUCCUAUUAAGCGUCUUGAUCUAUCUCUAUAGAUCUUGAUGCCCAAUAUAUAAGCAGCUUCACCGAGGUCUUUCAUUGAAAAACUUUUAUUCAAGUAUCCCUUUAUGCUAUCCAGAAAUUCUAUAUCAUUUCCAAUUAAUAAUAUGUCAUCUACAUAUAAUAUCAGAAAUGCUACAGAGCUCCCACUCACUUUCUUGUAAAUACAAGCUUCUCCAAAAGUCUGUAUAAAACCAUAUGCUUUGAUCACACUAUCAAAGCGUUUAUUCCAACUCCGAGAUGCUUGCACUAGUCCAUAAAUGGAACGCUGGAGCUUGCACACUUUGUUAGUACCUUUUGGAUCUACAAAACCUUCUGGCUGCAUCAUAUACAACUCUUCUUCUAGAAAUCCAUUCAAGAAUGCAGUUUUGACAUCCAUUUGCCAAAUUUCAUAAUUAUGAAAUGCAGCAAUAGCUAACAUGAUUCAGACAGACUUAAGCAUCGCUACGGGUGAGAAAGUCUCAUCGUAGUCAACUCCUUGAACUUGUCGAAAACCUUUCGCAACAAGUCGAGCUUUAUAGACAGUUAUAUUACCAUCAGCGUCAGUCUUCUUCUUAAAGAUCCAUUUAUUCUCAAUUGCUUGCCGAUCAUCGGGCAAGUCAACCAAAGUCCAUACUUUGUUUUCAUACAUGGAUCCCAUCUCAGAUUUCAUGGCCUCUAGCCAUUUUGCGGAAUCUGGGCUCAUCAUCGCUUCCUCAUAGUUCGUAGGUUCAUCAUGGUCAAGCAACAUGACUUCCAGAAUUGGAUUACCGUACCACUCUGGUGCGGAUCUUACUCUGGUAGACCUACGAGGUUCAGUAGAAACUUGAUCUGAAGUUUCAUGAUCAAUAUCAUUAGCUUCCUCACUAAUUGGUGUAGUUUUCACAUGAACCGGUUCUUGUGAUGAACUACUUUCCAAUAAGGGAGUAGAUAUAGUUAUCUCAUCAAGUUCUACUUUCCUCCCACUCACUUCUUUCGAGAGAAACUCCUUCUCUAGAAAGGAUCCGAUUUUAGCAACGAAAAUCUUGCCCUCAGAUCUGUGAUAGAAGGUGUACCCAAUAGUCUCUUUCGGGUAUCCUAUGAAGACACAUUUCUCCGAUUUGGGUUCGAGCUUAUCUGGUUGAAGUUUCUUCACAUAAGCAUCGCAACCCCAAACUUUAAGAAACGACAACUUUGGUUUCUUGCCAAACCACAGUUCAUAAGGCGUCGUCUUAACGGAUUUUGAUGGUGCCCUAUUUAACGUGAAUGCGGCCGUCUCUAAAGCAUAACCCCAAAACGAUAGCAGUAAAUCAGUAAGAGACAUCAUAGAUCGCACCAUAUCUAGUAAAGUACGAUUACGACGUUCGGACACACCAUUUCGUUGUGGUGUUCCGGGUGGCAUGAGUUGCGAAACUAUUCCGUGUUGUUUCAAGUGUAGACCAAACUCGUAACUCAAAUAUUCUCCUCCACGAUCAGAUCGUAGAAAUUUUAUUUUCCUGUUACGAUGAUUUUCUACUUCACUCUGAAAUUCUUUGAACUUUUCAAAUGUUUCAGACUUGUGUUUCAUCAAGUAGAUAUACCCAUAUCUGCUCAAAUCAUCUGUGAAGGUGAGAAAAUAACGAUAUCCACCGCGAGCCUCAACAUUCAUUGGACCACAAACAUCAGUAUGUAUGAUUUCCAACAAAUCAGUUGCUCGCUCCAUAGUUCCGGAGAACGGCGUUUUAGUCAUCUUGCCCAUGAGGCACGGUUCGCAAGUACCAAGUGAUUCAUAAUCAAGUGAUUCCAAAAUACCAUCAGUAUGGAGUUUCUUCAUGCACUUUACACCGAUAUGACCUAAACGGUAGUGCCACAAAUAAGUUGCACUAUCAUUAUUAACUCUGCAUCUCUUGGUUUCAACACUAUGAAUAUGUGUAUCACUACUAUCGAGAUUCAGUAAAAAUAGACCACUCUUCAAGGGUGCAUGACCAUAAAAGAUAUUACUCAUAUAAAUAGAACAACCAUUAUUCUCUGAUUUAAAUGAAUAACCGUCUCGCAUCAAACAAGAUCCAUAUAUAAUGUUCAUGCUUAACGCUGGCACCAAAUAACAAUUAUUUAGGUCUAAAACUAAUCUUGAUGGUAGAUGUAGAGGUAGCGUGCCGACCGCGAUCACAUCGACUUUGGAACCAUUUCCCACGUGCAUCGUCACCUCGUCCUUAGCCAAUCUUCGCUUAAUCCGUAGUCCCUGUUUCGAGUUGCAAAUAUUAGCAACAGAACCAGUAUUAAAUACCCAGGUGCUACUGCGAGCAUUAGUAAGGUACAGAUCAAUAACAUGUAUAUCACAUAUACCUUUGUUCACUUUGCCAUCCUUCUUAUCCGCCAAAUACUUGGGGCAGUUCCGCUUCCAGUGUCCAGUCUACUUGCAGUAGAAGCACUCAGUUUCAGACUUAGGUCCAGACUUGGGUUUCUUCUCUUGAGCAGCAACUUGCUUGCUGUUCUUUUUGAAGUUCCCCUUCUUCUUCCCUUUGCCCUUUUUCUUGAAACUGGUGGUCUUGUUAACCAUCAACACUUGAUGCUCCUUCUUGAUUUCUACCUCCGCGGCUUUUAGCAUCGCGAAGAGCUCGGGAAUAGUCUUGUUCAUCCCUUGCAUAUUAUAGUUCAUCACGAAGCUCUUGUAGCUUGGUGGCAGUGAUUGAAGAAUUCUGUCAAUGACACUAUCAUCAGGAAGAUUAACUCCCAGUUGAAUCAAGUGAUUAUUAUACCCAGACAUUUUGAGUAUAUGUUCACUGACAGAACUAUUCUCUUCCAUCUUGCAGCUAUAUAACUUAUUGGAGACUUCAUAUCUCUCAAUCCGGGCAUUUGCUUGAAAUAUUAACUUCAACUCCUGGAACAUCUCAUAUGCUCCAUGACGUUCAAAACGUUGUUGAAGACCCGGUUCUAAGUCGUAAAGCAUGGCACACUGAACUAUCGAGUAGUCAUCAGCUUUGCUCUGCCAGACGUUCUUAACGUCGUCAGUUGCAUCAGCAGCAUGCCUGUCACCCAGCAGUGCUUCCAGGACGUAACUUUUCUGUGCAGCAAUGAGGAUAAUCCUCAGGUUACGGACCCAGUCCGUGUAAUUGCUACCAUCAUCUUUCAACUUUGCUUUCUCAAGGAACACAUUAAAAUUCAACGGAACAACAACACGAGCCAUCUAUCUACAAACAAACAUAGACAAGCAAAAUACUAUCAGGUACUAAGUUCAUGAUAAAUUUAAGUUCAAUUAAUCAUAUCACUAAAGAACUCCCACUUAGACAGACAUCUCUCUAGUCAUCUAAGUGAUCACGUGAUCCAAAUUAACUAAACCAUGUCCGAUCAUCACGUGAGAUGGAGUAGUUUCAAUGGUGAACAUCAAUAUGUUGAUCAUAUCUACUAUAUGAUUCACGCUCGACCUUUCGGUCUCCGUGUUCCGAGGCCAUAUCUGUAUACGCUAGGCUCGUCAAGUAUGACCUGAGUAUUCCGCGUGUGCAACUGUUUUGCACCCGUUGUAUUUGAACGUAGAGCCUAUCACACCCGAUCAUCACGUGGUGUCUCAGCACGAAGAACUUUCGCAACGGUGCAUACUCAGGGAGAACACUUCUUGAUUAUUAGUGAGAGAUCAUCUUAAAAUGCUACCGUCAAUCAAAGCAAGAUAAGAUGCAUAAAGGAUAAACAUCACAUGUAAUCAAUAUAAGUGAUAUGAUAUGGACAUCAUCAUCUUGUGCUUGUGAUCUCCAUCUUCGAAGCACCGUCGUGAUCACCAUCGUCACCGGCGCGACACCUUGAUCUCCAUCAUAGCAUCAUUGUCGUUACGCCAUCUAUUGCUUCUACGACUAUCGCUACCGCUUAGAGAUAAAGUAAAGCAAUUACAGGGCGUUUGCAUUUCAUACAAUAAAGCGACAACCAUAUGGCUCCUGCCAGUUGCCGAUAACUUCGGUUACAAAACAUGAUCAUCUCAUACAAUAUAAUAUAGCAUCACGUCUUGACCAUAUCACAUCACAACAUGUCCUGCAAAAACAAGUUAGACGUCCUCUACUUUGUUGUUGCAAAUUUUACGUGGCUGCUACGGGCUUUAGCAAGAACCGUUCUUACGUACGCAUAAAAACCACAACGAUAGUUCAUCAAGUUGGUGCUAUUUUAACCUUCGCAAGGACCGGGCGUAGCCACACUCGAUUCAGCUAAAGUGAGAGAGACAGACACCCGCCAGCCACCUUUAAGCACGAGUGCUCGUAACGGUGAAACCAGUCUCGCGUAAGCGUACGCGUAAUGUCGGUCCGGGCCGCUUCAUCUCACAAUACCGCCGAACCAAAGUAUGACAUGCUGGUAAGCAGUACGACUUGUAUCGCCCACAACUCACUUGUGUUCUACUCGUGCAUAUAACAUCAACGCAUAAAACCUGGCUCGGAUGCCACUGUUGGGGAACGUAGUAAUUUCAAAAAAAUUCCUACGCACACGCAAGAUCAUGGUGAUGGCAUAUCAACAAGAGGGGAGAGUGCUGUCCACGUACCCUCGUAGACCGUAAGCGGAAGCGUUAGCACAACGCGGUUGAUGUAGUCGUACGUCUUCACGAUCCGACCGAUCCAAGCACCGAACGUACGGUAGUUCAGCACACGUUCAGCUCGAUGACGAUCCCCGGGCUCCGAUCCAGCAAAGCUUCGGGGAUGAGUUCCGUCAGCACAACGGCGUGGUGACGAUGAUGAUGUUCUACCGGCGCAGGGCUUUGCCUAAACUCCGCGACGAUAUGACCGAGGUGGAAUAUGGUGGAGGGGGGCACCGCACACGGCUAAGGAACGAUCCGUAGAUCAACUUGUGUGUCUAUGCGGUGCCCCCGCCCCCGUAUAUAAAGGAGCCAGGGGGAGGAGGCGGCCGGCCAAGGAGGGCGCACCAAGGGUCCCUUCUUUCCUAGUUGGAAUAGGAGAAGGGGGGAAAGAGGAGGAAGAGGGGAAGGAAAGGGGGGGGGGGGCGCCGCCCCCCUUCCCUUGUCCUAUUCGGACUAGGAAGGGGAGGGGCGCGCGGUCCCCUCCUGCCUCCUUCCCUCUUCUCCCUCGAGGCCCAUGUAGGCCCAAUAACCCCCGGGGGGGGGGGGUCCAGUAACCUCCCGGUGCUCCGGUAAAAUGCCGAUUUCACCCGGAACGAUUCCGAUGUCCAAAUAUAGGCUUCCAAUAUAUCGAUCUUUAUGUCUCGACCAUUUCGAGACUCCUUGUUAUGUCCGUGAUCACAUCCGGGACUCCGAACAAACUUCGGUACAUCAAAACUUAUAAACUCAUAAUAAAACUAUCAUCGUAACGUUAAGCGUGCGGACCCUACGGGUUCGAGAACUAUGUAGACAUGACCUAGAACUAUUCUCGGUCAAUAACCAAUAGCGGAACCUGGAUGCCCAUAUUGGUUCCUACAUAUUCUACGAAGAUCUUUAUCGGUCAAACCGCAUAACAACAUACGUUGUUCCCUUUGUCAUCGGUAUGUUACUUGCCCGAGAUUUGAUCGUCGGUAUCCAAUACCUAGUUCAAUCUCGUUACCGGCAAGUCUCUUUACUCGUUCCGUAAUGCAUCAUUCCGUAACCAACUCAUUUGGUCACAUUGCUUGCAAGGCUUAUAAAGAUGUGCAUUACCGAGAGGGCCCAGAGAUACGUCUCCGACAAUCGGAGUGACAAAACCUAAUCUCGAAAUACGCCAACUCAACAUGUACCUUCGGAGACACCUAUAGUACUCCUUUAUAAUCACCCAGUUACGUUGUGACGUUUGGUAGUACCCAAAGUGUUCCUCCAGUAAACGGGAGUUGCAUAUUUCUCAUAGUUAUAGGAACAUGUAUAAGUCAUGAAGAAAGCAAUAGCAAUAUACUAAACGAUCAAGUGCUAGGCUAACGGAAUGGGUCAUGUCAAUCACAUCAUUCUUCUAAGGAUGUGAUCCCAUUAAUCAAAUGACAACACAUGUCUAUGGUUAGGAAACAUAACCAUCUUUGAUUAAUGAGCUAGUCAAGUAGAGGCAUACUAGUGACUAUAUGUUUGUCUAUGUAUUCACACAUGUAUCAUGUUUCCGGUUAAUACAAUUCUAGCAUGAAUAAUAAACAUUUAUUAUGAUAUGAGGAAAUAAAUAAUAACUUUAUUAUUGCCUCUAGGGCAUAUUUCCUUCACUUACCCCCUUGGGGGCGGCAUUCUUGGAGAUGCACUCGGACUCGAGGGACCAGCGGAUGGCUUCUUUGGUGGAACAGUGUUUCGUUCUACAUAUUCAUGGCGGCGGCUCUUGGCGGCAUGGAGCAGCGGAGGCUUGGCGUCAGAUGUGUGGUGAUGGACACGCACAGGAGGUCGACACUGUCUGGCGUCAUGGUGGCGUCGGCGGCAACUAGACCGGGCAAGGUUGAUGCAGCAGUACAACUCUGAAGAUGGAUUGGUGGCAAGUGGUUGCGGCGGCUUCAUACCCGGCAGGCGUCCUGGUUGAGGAGCACGCCGGACUGGUGGGUGCCCAUACCCGGCAGGCGUCCUGGUUGAGACCUCAGGUCUUAGAUGUUAGGUCUGGCUUCGAUGUUUGUUUCGUAUUAGGCCCAGGCUAUCAACGCCCCUUCAUCAAAUGGAUAGGUGUAGCGACAGUUGUUGCUUAGAUGGUGGCUUUAGUCUUAUUGUUGUAUGCCUUUGUAAGGUCUUGUGAGAAUAAUUAAUAAAGUGGCCGUAUGCAUCGUCCAGAUGCAGAGACCGGGGGUCCUCCUCCUUUUCUAAAAAAAAACUAGGUUGAUCAACUUCAAUUGUAGUAAAAAAUAGCACUCCCAAUUUGUGACGACUCAAUGCAUGUAUCCGCAUGUAUAAAAAGUAUUUCUUUUAGAUAAUUUAUAAUUGUUUCUUGUUAUCAAUUUAUUUUUUAUGUUUAAGCAACAAAUCGUUACACAGAAUUCAGGCCAAAAGGCACUAUACCAUCCAGCCAUGGUCCAUUUACUAUUAGAUUCCCUACAUGGGUACAUUUAUGGGCAAAGCUACCGAUGGACUUGGGUGUACAAAAAUAUACCUAUUAUUUUUUUGAAACUUCUGAAUUUGUAUGAUUCAUGUAUAUAGAACAAUAUACAUCAAGAAAUGAGGAAAUAUGAGUAAAAUUGUAAAUUCAAGGCCUAUGUACACCAUUGAUUGGAUGUUGGAUCCAUCACCCUUCCACUGCAGUUCAUACGUGACAAGAAUGUGGAGACGCCUUAUUCAAAUAUAUAUUCUAAUUUUAUUUUAAAAUUUAAUACUAUAAAUUCUCGCAGCAACGCGCAGGAUAUUAUCUACUAAACUUUCAACGCAGCAAACCGAACGUGUCUCGCUGCAAACAGUAGGCGGCUACUACUCCACCACGUCUAAACUUUCAACAUCCUCAAAAAAACUGCACACGACGUCUCUCCACGUGCCGAGGUCGUCGACUCCUUCCGCGCCCUGGGUCGACCACCUAUCCUCUGCGGCUCUUUGUCUUCGGUUUGCAGCGCGUCGACACGCCCUCUGAAUCUACCGCCAGAGGGAAUUUGGUGUUUCAGACCUUGCGCAUUCUCCCGCACCCCGGCUUCACUUGCUGACAGAAGGCGCAGCUGGCCACGAGCUGCUUGAUCGCAGCCUUCAUGCGUGGCCAAGCAAACAACACCUUGAUGCAUUUGUCAUAGUUUAACCUAGUUUGGUAAUCCACUUCUGAGCCCAGGCUCAGCUGCACCCACCCUGACGAACAAAAUCAAAACAAAUACUAAAAAAUUUAAAAAUUCUAAUUUCUUUUGUGUGGUAGAUAAUUUGAUGCGUGAGGUCCGCUUAAAAUUUCAAAUGAUUUGGACAACUGAGCAGCUCUCGGUAAAAAAGACAAAUUCGGGGUCUAUAAAAAUGUAUAUUGUUCAUGUACUAUUCUAACUCGAUUUGUCUUUAUUGCUGAGAGCUGCACAGAAUUCCAAAUGACCUAAAAUUUGGAGCUGACCUCACAUGAUAAAUUGUCUACCAUGCAAAAAAAAUUGGAAUUUUUCGAAUUUGUUUUGAAUUUUUUUUCUAGGCGGGUGCAGAUGAGUCUGGGCACCGAAAUGCCGCACUCUAGUUAGUUAGACUUUACUCUGACAAGAAUAAUGAUAUGAUUUGGACUUCCAGGUUUGGUGACUAGAUUAACUCUGCUGCUCUCAUGGACAUUUGAAUUCUUGCACACAGUUCUGCUUGCUUUAGCAAAGACACACAAUGGCCAUACUCCUCUUAUCCGACAGUGUGGGGCUAUAACUCCUAAGAAUAUAUCUUUUCUUUUUGUGAGAAAUGGUGGCUUAAAAUUGAUUAUUGCCACCAUGUAGUUGAGAAUUCUCGGACCAGACCUUUGCCAUAGUAAGGAUCCCACUGAGAUCUGGUAGGCUAUGAUAUGUUGUACUACUAACAAAAUACAAUAAAUCUCUAAGAAAAUGAACUUUGCCAAUUCAUCUAAGAUCUUUUUUUAAAGACUGGCAUCAUUGUGCAGAUCAUGCUUCUUCUUUAAACUUCUUAAGCCUGAUGUAGCUGCUGAGUAGCACGGACGGAGAGGUUUACUUCUAGUUCUUCAGAAGCUUGCCGAGCUCCUGCAUCUUGCUCUCCUAUUCUCCUGGGAGCUACCCCUGUAUGGCUACAUCUCUGUUUUCUUAGUGAAAGGUCCAACCUAGUCUCAAUAACAAAAAUGAGAAUAUGGUGUCAGGUUUAGAGUUUUGAUGUAAAAAAUGCCAACAACAAAACUUAUCAACCUUAACACUGGAUAUAACUUCUCUGUUGCACCGAGUGGCAGGCUCGGCUAGCACACUUAAAUCAUCUUGAUGUAAUAACUUCUCUAUUGUUCAUAGUCGUACAAAUUUCCAAUCUGGAUUUUUUUCCCUAGUGAAGUUUCUAUAGAUUCUUGCAAAUAGUAACUGUCUUACUAUUGUUUUAUCUUUUUCCUGAGUAUGUGCUGCUCUUUUGACAGGAGAACAUAACUUGAUCAUAAAAAAACAGCUUAGAAAUUCUAUUAACAGAAAACACCAAUUAAUUGGUAAAUAAAGUAGCCAUGAAACUAAGGUAUAAAUAAAUCCCUCUAUGUUUGCAAGUUGGCAUAUGAAUUCCAUUAUUCACAACAUUACACGCACAGAGAGUGGUUUCUCUUGCAGCACAUGGAUGUUGGUCGAUCUCGCAAAACUUUGCGUAAAUCAGAUGCUUGACUACUUCUAUCGAUCACUUUUUUUGAGCGGUAAACCAUAUUAAAUUAAGAAGGAGUUCGGUUUACAGGGAUAAAUGAACGGGUCAUGGGGUAAACCCAGCCACAAAUGGCGACCCUCUGGUAAAGAAGACGAAAAUUUAGCUAAACUAUGAGUCUCGAAAUUUAAAGUACGGCGUUCGAAAAUUACAUCACAUGAGAUGAACUCCUUCGCUCUUGCUUGAACUUCCUGGAUCAUUGCGCUGUAGCUUCCCUUUGAAUCCAUCUUUAUCUCAUCAACAACUGCCUUACAAUCACAAGCGAUAACAAUAUGCUGUUGCGAUAGAUCAAGUGCAAGUGCUAGAGCUUCACGAACAGCUAGGGCUUCCAAAGUUGCCGGGUCAUGGAUGUUGCUAAACGCCAUUGCUGAAGAGCCCAGAUAAUUACCUUCAUGAUCUUUGCAGAGCGCCGCUGAAGCUCCCCCUCUUCCAUCCCUGGACAAACCACCAUCCACAUGUAUCUUCACCACUCCCGGUCCUGGUGCUUUCCACACCAAACCAGGAUCAGUUCUCCUCGUUGAUGAAAGUGUCAAACAUGCAUCAUAUCUGGCCGCACCUAGCCGCACCUAUCUUGUUUGCUUCCGUUGUUAGGAGUCCUAGUUAGAUAGACUAGGUUGUUGAGGUUUAUCUCUAUCUAAGAUCUUCCUUUCUCUUCAAGAUGUAAUCUCCAACAACUUUGUAUGCGCUGUACAGGGAGGUGCGCCCCUGCUAUAUAAACACGUACACGUCGCCCACAUCGGGCAAGACGUUUCCGCCAUCGCACAUGGUAAUCAGAGCCUUCCUCUUCCAACCUAGCCUCCCGAUUGCAUCUAAUGCAUAGCUAUGUUUUCAUCCUCCGGCGCCUCGCCUAGCCUCAAUGGCCAGGUCACCGAGAAGCUCAAUCGCACGAACUACGUGCUAUGGCGCACGCAGGUCACACCCCACCUGCGGGGCGCCGGUGUCUUUGGCUACGUCGACGGCACCACGCCGGAGCCGGUCAGACUCCACGGCACGAAGGACAAGGUCGGCAAGGAGACUUCUGCGCCCAACCCUCUCCACCCACUUUGGGUCCGGGAGGACCAACAGGUGCUUGGCUAUUUGCUGAGUACCCUCUCCAAGGAGGUGCUGGUCGCGGUCAACGCGAUCACCACGGCGCGCGAACUCUGGGUGGCACUGGCGGGCAUGUUCUCGUCCCAGUCACUCAGCCGCGUCAACAACAUCAGGACUGCGCUCAUCAACGCGCAGAAGGGCAACCAGUUGGUAGCCUCCUACUUCACCUCCCUCCGCAGCCUCGCCGAUGAACUCGCCACCGCGGGCAAGCCUAUCCAGGACGACGAACUGAUCUCGUACAUUCUCCAUGGCCUCGACAUCGACUACCAGCCGCUCGUCUCCGCCCUCGACGCCCGCGUCACGCCCGUCACCAUCGACGAGCUCUACGCCAUGCUGAGUAAUUUUGAUCAGCGCAUGGCUUCAAGGAAAUAUGCCUUAGAGGCAAUAAUAAAGUUAUUAUUUAUUUCCUUAUAUCAUGAUAAAUGUUUAUUAUUCAUACUAGAAUUAUAUUAACCAGAAACAUGAUACAUGUGUGAAUACAUAGACAAACAUAUAGUCACUAGUAUGCCUCUACUUGACUAGCUCAUUAAUCAAAGAUGGUUAUGUUUCCUAACCAUAGACAUAUGUUGUCAUUUGAUUAAUGGGAUCACAUCAUUAGGAGAAUGAUGUGAUUGACAUGACCCAUUCUGUUAGCCUAGCACUUGAUCGUUUAGUAUAUUGCUAUUGCUUUCUUCAUGACUUAUACAUGUUCCUGUAACUAUGAGAUUAUGCAACUCCCGUUUACCGGAGGAACACUUUGGGUGCUACCAAACGUCACAACGUAACUGGGUGAUUAUAAAGGAGUACUCCAGGUGUCUCCAAAGGUACAUGUUGGGUUGGCGUAUUUCGAGAUUAGGUUUUGUCACUCUGAUUGUCGAAGAGGUAUCUCUGGGCCCACUCGGUAAUGCACAUCACUAUAAGCCUUGCAAGCAUUGCAACUAAUGAGUUAGUUGCGAGAUGAUGCAUUACGGAACGAGUAAAGAGACUUACCGAUAACGAGAUUGAACUAGGUAUUGGAUACCGAUGAUCAAAUCUCGGGCAAGUAACAUACCGAUGACAAAGGGAACAACGUAUGUUGUUAUGCGGUUUGACCGAUAAAGAUCUUCGUAGAAUAUGUAGGAGCCAAUAUGAGCAUCCAGGUUCCGCUAUUGGUUAUUGACCGAAAACGGUUCUCGGUCAUGUCUACAUAGUUCUCGAACCCGCAGGGUCCGCACGCUUAAGGUUUCGAUGACAGUUAUAUUAUGAGUUUAUGAGUUUUGAUGUACCGAAGGAGUUCGGAGUCCCGGAUGAGAUCGGGGACAUGACGAGGAGUCUCGAAAUGGUUGAGACGUAAAGAUCGAUAUAUUGGACGACUAUAUUCGGAGUUCGGAAAGGUUCCGAGUGAUUCGGGUAUUUUUCGAAGUACCGGAGAGUUACGGGAAUUCGUCGGGGAGUAUAUGGGCCUUAUUGGGCCAUACGGGAAUAGAGGAGAGAGACCAAAAGGAAGGAGGCCUGCGCCCCCCCUCUGGUCCGAAUUGGACAAGGGGCGCAGCCCCCUUUUCCUUCUUCCUCUCCCCCUCUUUCCCCUUCUCCUACUCCAACAAGGAAGGAGGGAGUCCUACUCCCGGUGGGAGUAGGACUCCCCUUGGUGCGCCCCCUCCCCCUUGGUCCUUUAUAUACAGGGGCAGGGGGGCACCCCACAACACACAAGUUGAUCUACGUGAUCGUUCCAUAGCCGUGUGCGGUGUCCCCCUCCACCAUAUUCCACCUCGGUCAUAUCGUCGCGGAGUUUAGGCGAAGCCCUGCGCCGGUAGAACAUCAUCAUCGUCACCACGCCGUCGUGCUGACGGAACUCAUCCCCGACACUUUGCUGGAUCGGAGUACGGGGAUCGUCAUCGAGCUGAACGUGUGCUGAACUCGGAGGUGCCGUACGUUCGGUACUUGGAUCGGUCGGAUCGUGAAGACGUACGAGCGAAAAGUCAUCAGUUCCCUUAUCCUAUAUCUACUAGUGUUUCUACCAAACCAUUACAAUUAAUCUUCUCUGAUGUUUGGGGCCCUGCCCCCAGUUCCAUUGGUAGACAUACUUAUUAUGUGAGCUUCAUAGAUGACUGCAGUAAAUUCUCCUGGAUCUAUCUUCACAAACGAAGAUCAGAUGUCUUUCAAGUUUUUCAAAACUUUCAAGCUCUCGUUGAACGAAAAUUUGAUAGUAAGAUCAUUGCAGUUCAAUCUGAUUGGGGAGGGGAAUACGAGAAAUUGAAGUUGUUUUUUCCAAACCCUUGGCAUAUCACACCAUGUGUCAUGCCCUCACGCUCACCAACAAAACGGCUCCGCCGAACGCAAGCACAGACAUAUACUUGAGGUUGGGUUAGCCCUCCUAGCUGGUGCAUCCAUGCCUCUCAAGUUCUAGGAUGAGGCUUUCCUCACGGCUGUUCAUAUCAUAAACAUGCUCCCUAGUCGAGUCAUUAACAAUGAAACUCCACUAGAACGACUCCUUCAUAUUAAACCCGACUACAAAUCCCUUCGUGUCUUUGGAUGUGCCUGUUGGCCCAACCUUCGGCCUUACAACAAAUGCAAGCUCAUGUUUCGCUCAACCUUCAUGCACUUCUUCGCCAAGAAAUCCUCCUUUUGCCUCCUCAUCUGUCCAGUGUUGAUCAAGGGGGAAACGAUUGUGACAAUGAUUAACUGUUGACUAACCCUCUUACUGAUGAUAUACAUGAGCCGUGUGGUGUUACAGGUGAAAACAGCAAAGAAAAUGACGAAAGCAGAGAAGAAAAUGGUGAAAAAACCCCUCAACCGGAGCCAUAUUUCAUGUGCUCGAAAUCUGGAGACAAAUCCUCCUCGGGAUAUGUUCGCCUGCAGGGAAUCAGAUCCUCCUCGGGAUCAGUGGCAGCAGACGCUCCAGGGGCGCAGACUGCAUGCGCACCCGCCUCGGUCCAGGCGCGCGCCCCGUCGUCGUCCGCGGGCUGCAGCACGCAAUCGCCUCCGCUUCAAUCGCUAUCUGCCACGUGUCGUCGCACAACUGGCGCGGGUGGCGCACGCUUCUCCAGCCAGCCCGUAUGCUACAAGCGGCGCCCCCCGCCUCGCCCGACAGAUGUGGGACCCGAAGCUGGCGCGAGAUCCAGCAUCGAUGCGCACGCGCCCACGCAACCCGACCAGUGCGCGAUCCGAGGCUGAUUCGCUAUCAUGUGGUCAUGAUGAGUCUGCCUCUCCGGCGGGAUCUUCUGCGGAGCCUGCGCGUGCACGGCUGCUGGAUUCUGCCACAUAAAAUCCAAGCGAGGCAGAACCUGCCACUGGACUGCGCGGAUCUUCCUUGGGAUCAGCUCUUGCAGCAACUCCUGUUUGCGCUGCGGGAUCUUCUGCGGCUGUGGUGGCCAAAAAUUUGGUUGUUUCUCCGCGGCGUAUAAGACUACAAAAGGGAGUAAUGCAAGCUGUUGAUUACAAAUGUGUAACAAAAUAUGGCAUGGUUUGUUCUACAGGUGAACCAGGUGAACCUCAUACUCUAGAAGAAGCACUUGGUGAUGAAAAAUGGCAUAAAGCUAUGAAUGAAGAAUACAUGGCUCUAAGGAAAAAAUAACACAUAGCACUUAAUUCCUCCACAACAAGGUAAAAAUUUAAUUGAUUGCAAGUGGGUUUUCAGGAUCAAGAGAAAAUCAGAUGGAACUAUUGAUCAUUACAAAGCUAGGUUAGUUGCGAAGGGGUUUAAACAACGAUAUGGUAUUGACUAUGAGGACACUUUUAGUCCAGUUGUUAAAGCUGCAACUAUUCGUCUAGUUUUGUCUAUUGCUGUUUCUAGGGGAUGGAGUCUCAGACAGUUAGACGUACAGAACGCGUUUCUUCAUGGUGUUCUGGAAGAGGAAGUAUACAUGAAACAACCUCCUGGGUUUGAAAGCAAAAAAACUCCCUCCUAUGUGUGUAAGCUUGACAAGACACUCUAUGGGUUGAAACAAGCACCGAGAGCAUGGUACUCUUGACUUUGCCAUAAAAUGCAAGCACUUGGCUUUAUUCCAUCAAAAUCUGACACUUCUUUGUUCAUCUACAACAAGUCCAACACAUGCAUAUUUGUUUUAAUAUAUGUUGAUGAUAUCAUUGUGACAAGCUCAUCAAAUGAGGCAAUCACAGGACUGUUGAAAGAUUUGAGUGCAGAUUUUGCUCUAAAAGAUCUUGGUGACUUGCACUAUUUUCUUGGAAUUGAAGUGGAGAAGCAUACAGGUGGACUUCAUCUCUCUCAGGAAAAGUAUGCAACUGAUCUGGUAAAAAAGGCUGGUCUACAAGGAUGUAAGCCCACGCCUACUCCAUUAUCCAGCUCAGAAAAACUAUCUCGCACAGAAGGUAAUCUUUUGAGCCAAGAAGAUAGCACAAAGUAUAGAAGCCUAGUAGGAGCACUUCAAUAUCUUACUCUGACCAGGCCUGAUAUAUCUUUUGCUGUCAACAAAGUAUGCCAGUUUUUUCAUGCACCUACAAAUGUUCAUUUCACUGCUGCAAAACGUAUAGUAAGAUAUGCCAAAGGAACUUUGAGCAUUGGUCUCGAUUUCAGCAAAUCAUCCUCUAAUCUGGUAAGUGCCUUUUCUGACUCAGAUUAGGCAGGAUGUUUGGAUGACAGGUGCUCCACUGGUGGCUUUGCAAUCUUUUUUGGGCCACAUUUGAUCUCAUGGUGUGCUCGAAAACAAGCUACUGUCUCCAGAUCUAGUACAGAGGCAGAAUAUAAAGCACUUGCAAAUGCUACAGCUGAAAUUAUAUGGGUCCAAUCCAUGUUGAAAGAACUGGGUAUAAAGAACACACCAGCUCCAUGUCUGUGGUGUGACAAUCUUGGUGCAACUUAUUUGUCUGCUAACCCAGUUUUUCAUGCCAGAACAAAAGAUAUUGAAAUAGAUUUUCAUUUUGUUCGAGAGAGAGUUGCUCAAAAGCAACUUGAUAUUCGCUUCAUUCACUCCAAAGAUCAGCUUGCAGAUGGUUUUACCAAGGCUUUGCCUGUGAGAAGCUUUGAGAACUUCAGAUAUAAUCUCAACUUAAUGAAGUUGUGAUUAAGGGGGGGGUGUCAAACAUGCAUCAUAUCUGGCCGCACCUAGCUGCACCUAUCUUGUUUGCUUCCAUUGUUAGGAGUCCUAGUUAGAUAGACUAGGUUGUUGAGGUUUAUCUCUAUCUAAGAUCUUCCUUUCUCUCCAAGAUGUAAUCUCCAACAACUUUGUAUGCGCUGUACAGGGAGAUGUGCCCCUGCUAUAUAAACACGUACACGUCGCCCACAUCGGAUAAGACGUUUCCGCCAUCGCACAGAAAGACCUUGUUGAACCGGCCUCCGCGGCACAACCUCAAUCGUUUCAAGCUUCGUAAUGAAGGAAUUGACGAAAGAAUGAGUGACAUGUGGACUCUGAAGAAUCCCCUCGUGUAUGGCAUUCCGGCGCGCAGUCCAAAUUGCUCAUAAAGUUACCACUACCUUGAUUAAAAGUGCAUGUGGUAAUCAGUCCUGGUGGUAAUCAUAUUGAAAAUCCAUAUCUUGGCAUUUUCCUCCCUCGUGGCUUGCAUGUGAUUAGUCAUCUCGUCAUCCGCUAGUGUCCAAACGCAUCGAGCCAUGGAACACUCCAGGAGCGAGUGUCGCCAUGAGUCCUGUGAUCCGCACAACUGACAUUUGUCAUUUUUCGCCAUCUUCCCGUUGAGACGCACAUCCUCAAUAGAAAUUGAAUGCCUAGCCAGUCUCCACAGGAAGCUACGUAUUUUUCCCAGAACCCGAAUAGACCAUAGAGAUGACCAAGCCUUUCCUUCUGCCUCAUAAUCAAUCACUUAAAAGAAGUUAGAUGAUGCGCUGGAAGAUGCACACGAGAAGCAAGCCGAAAUCACUAGUUAAGGAGUAUUCCUUGCGGAGAUUACUCCAACUUCUUCAGGUUGCGACAAGUGGCGCGCUACAUGUGCGCCACUUAUUGCAACCUGGGAGUUUUCCCUUUUUUCGUAGAUUCGUUUAUUCAAAACGUUUUAUCUCUUAAACCGUGCGUCCAAAUCUCGAACCGCUUUCGCCGUUGGAUUCCUCGCGUCGAGAUCUUCAAAACUAGACCCCAUGUUGAUAGGUUUUGACGAACUUUUUUUUCACGAAAAAACCGGACGAAAAAAACCGACGAAAAAACCGAACUGGGAACACGGGUUUUUUCCCCUUUCCGAAAAAGGCACGCCCGUGCCUCUGACGAAAUCACAACCGUGCCUCUCGCGGAAGCAAAACCGUGCCUCUCGCGAAAUAAGAAAAAAUAGAAAAUGCGUUUUUUCCCUUUUCGAAAGAGGCAUGCCCGUGCCUCUCGCGAAAAGUACAACCGUGCCUCUCGCGAAAGAAAAAAACAGAAAACACGUUUUUUCCCUUUCCGAAAGAGGCACACCCGUGCCUCUCGCGAAAGCACAACCGUGCCUCUCGCGAAAGCACAACCGUGCNNNNNNNNNNNNNNNNNNNNNNNNNNNNNNNNNNNNNNNNNNNNNNNNNNNNNNNNNNNNNNNNNNNNNNNNNNNNNNNNNNNNNNNNNNNNNNNNNNNNNNNNNNNNNNNNNNNNNNNNNNNNNNNNNNNNNNNNNNNNNNNNNNNNNNNNNNNNNNNNNNNNNNNNNNNNNNNNNNNNNNNNNNNNNNNNNNNNNNNNNNNNNNNNNNNNNNNNNNNNNNNNNNNNNNNNNNNNNNNNNNNNNNNNNNNNNNNNNNNNNNNNNNNNNNNNNNNNNNNNNNNNNNNNNNNNNNNNNNNNNNNNNNNNNNNNCUUUCCGAAAGAGGCACGCCCGUGCGUCUCGCGAAAGCACAACCGUGCCUCUCGCGGAAGCAAAACCGUACCUCUCAUGAAAGAAAAAAACAGAAAACAUGUUUUUUUUCGUUUCCAAGAGGCACGGACAUGCCUCUCGCGAAAGCACAACCAUGCCUCUCUCUAAAACAAAACCGUGACUCUCGCAAAAAAAAACGUUUUUUUUCGCAAAAAAAUUAUUUUUUUCAAAAUUAUUUUUUGGUCGAAAAGCUAGGGACAACCGGUAGAAAACUAAACCGUCAAAAAAACAAAAAAAACCCGUUUAAAAAGCCGAAAACGCGUGCGAAAAAAUAAAGAAAAACAAAAUCCGAAGGGAGUGCCCAGAGCGCGACAUGUGGCAAAUGGCUGAGAGCGCGCCAAGUGGCGCUGAUCCUUGCGAGGCUCCCGAAGGAACGCUCGUUAAUUAGUUGCUCCCGAAGCAAGCCCACAUCAACAAGAUGCAAGCCCAAAUAAGAAAAAUUAAUAAGCUCUGUGUUGGGGAUAACCCGGGGAUCAUAUUUGGCGCGCGGGUCGUUGGUUAGCGACAGCGCACGCACCCCAUGCUUUCGGCUGCAUACAUUUGGUCCGGUCCAACUACCUCGUUUCCAGUUAUUGGAAACCGUUUUUUUUUCUCCUGGAAAGGAGGGCCAAGGUAGACGAGUUUCCCCUAGGCGAUACACUAGGGUCUUGACGUCUUUCGGCGAUCCUCGCCGGAAUCUUGUUUUGCGGCGCCGUCCUCGAGCGAGGCUGAUCCUCCUGACUCGGGCUGACAAAGGGGGUUCCGAGUGAUCCUUCCCGGCCUUGGACGGGGGGCAGACCGCGGUUGGGAAAGCGCUGGUUCGUGUGGACAGAUCGGAUCGAGACGAUGUCAGAGGACAGGGGCACGCAAAGGGAGAAGGGGAAGGAGUCGACCGAGGAUCUACUAGCACGCCUCACCCUGCAGGAGGAGGAAGAAGAUGAUUUUGUGUGGGAGGAAGAGCUACCAGAUCUACUGGAGCCGGCGAAGUGGCUGGCGAUUGCGAGGGUGCAUACCCGAAAAACCUUCAGCCCUAACGCAUUGUAUGGCGACAUGAGGGCGGCCUGGAAUCCAGCUAAGCCGGUAGCAUGGAGGAAGAUCAGGGAUAACCUGUUCUCGGCGUAGUUUGGAUGUCUUGCAGAUUGGAAGAAAGCCAUGUACGAAGGGCCAUGGUUGUUCAGGGACCAGGCCGUGAUAUUGGAAGAGUACGACGGAUUCAAAAACCCUGAUUCGUUCAAACUGGAUAGAAUUGAGGUAUGGGCUCAGAUCCAUCGACUUCCGGAUAAUUUCUUGAUCGAGCCGGCAGUUAAGGGGCUAGCAUCGAGGAUCGGCGAGGUGGUAGAGAUAUAGCUAAAGCUGCCAACCGGAUUUUUUGGUGAAUUCGUGAGAGUGAGGAUCAAGAUUGAUGUUAAUGCAAAGAUCAAAAGGUUUGUAACCGGAAAAAAGGGCGAGGAGAGGGUCAGGUAUCCAGUCAAGUAUGAGAAGCUACCUAUUUUCUGUUACAAUUGUGGAGAGUUCGGGCAUUGGCAUGAAGAAUGCGGUGAUGGGGUGCAUGACGAAGCUGCUUUUGAGUGGGGAGACUUCUUACUUGCAGAUAAUGUUAGAGUUAGAGCUCCGGGGCGCGGUUUUGCUCAAACACAGAGGGGGAGAGGAAGCUUUGCGAGGGGGGGGGGGUAGGGGCGGGGAUUUCAACCCAAACCAGAGCUGGCGCUUCAACGCCCGGCCACCGCAGCCCCAUGAAGAAGCAUCAGGAUCAAAUGGACAUCAAGGAGGACGGGAGACCAUGAAGACAAACCAGUAUGUUUUGCAACGGCAGUCGCAGCCUCUGGAUCAAGACAGAGGAAAAAAUAAAGCUUCCAUGAGCGGCAACAAUGGAGGAUCAGACGGGCUAGAGGGGAUGAGAACGAACACAUCUAUGGAGGGUACAAAUGGAAUAGCUGGAGUCUCGGUCAAGCGUCCCUCGGCGGACAACACGGCACCUAUGUUGCCCGAGUCAAUGGUAGAAAAGGGAGGGGCUGUUGUAGCAGAAAACGUGUCCACAGCAUUGGUGGUGAGGGAGAAGCCGACGGGGGUGCCUCCGAUGCCCCCAGUAUAUUUUUCGCCCAGGAAGGAAGUGAAGAGACCAAAGAAAGGUGAAUGUCAGGGAAGGAAGCUGGACAGCAUGGGAAUGCAGGUUUUUGAAGUGGAAGGGGUUAGAAAGGAAGGAGGAAACGAAGCAAACAAAGCAGCAUCGGCGGGCUCCCGUGAGGAGUACCGCCGGGAACAAUGAGUAUCAUCUGCUGGAACUGUCGAGGUUCGGGCAAAGCCUCGACAGUUCGUGAACUUCGUGAGAUCGUGAAGAAUUUUGCCCCUACCUUACUUUGUAUUCUAGAAACUCAAAUCAACAAAGUUAGGGUAGAAAGGCUAGCUACUUCUAUUGGUUUUGAUAAAGGAUAUGCCGUAAGCAGUGUUGAUAGAAGCGGAGGCAUCGAUUUGUUUUGGAAUAACGCAAUAAAUAUUGAUAUUAUGGGCUAUUCUGGCUAUCAUUUGGAUUGUGAGGUGCGUGACCCGGGUUUUGACCCGUGGAGGCUAACUAUGGUGUAUGGUGAGGCUCAAACUCACUUGAGAUACCAGACAUGGGACACUAUGAGAAACAUAGCAAAUUUAAGCACUCUGACAUGGCUCUGUAUCGGAGAUUUUAACGAAGUUUUACGUCCAGAAGAACAUGAGGGGGUUGGAGAGAGGAGUAAUGCUCAGAUCCAAGGUUUUAGGGACAUGGUUGAUACUUGCAUGUUGGUAGACGGCUAUAAAGGCAUAUUCUGGACUUUUGAGAAGAAGGUGUCCGGUGGCUCUUUCACAAGAGUAAGGCUGGACAAGGCUCUCGGGUCGACUGAUUGGUGUGAGCUAUUCCCAUUGGCAUGCCUUAAUCACCUAACGGCAGCGACCUCGGACCAUGGUUCGAUCCAGCUAGAGCUACACCCGACCGCGCAGGGGGACCAGGUACGGGACAAACUUUUUCGCUAUGAAGUUGUUGGAAAUAUGCCCUAGAGGCAAUAAUAAAAGUAUUAUUAUUAUAUUUCCUUGUUCAUGAUAAUUGUCUCUUAUUCAUGCUAUAAUUGUAUUAUCCGGAAAUCGUAAUACACGUGUGAAUACAUAGACCACAAUACGUCCCUAGUAAGCCUCUAGUUGACUAGCUCGUUGGUCAACAGAUAGUCAUGGUUUCCUGACUAUGGACAUUAGAUGCCAUUGACAACGGGAUCACGUCAUUAGGAGAAUGACGUGAUAGACAAGACCCAAUCCUAAGCAUAGCACAAGAUCGUGUAGUUCGUUUUGCUAGAGCUUUUCCAAUGUCAAGUAUCUCUUCCUUAGACCAUGAGAUCGUGUAACUCCCGGAUACCGUAGGAGUGCUUUGGGUGUACCAAACGUCACAACGUAACUGGGUGACUAUAAAGGUGCACUACAGGUAUCUCCGAAAGUGUCUGUUGGGUUGACACGGAUCGAGACUGGGAUUUGUCACUCUGUAUGACGGAGAGGUAUCUCUGGGCCCACUCGGUAAUGCAUCAUCAUAAUGAGCUCAAAGUGACCAAGUGUCUGGUCACGGGAUCAUGCAUUACGGUACGAGUAAAGUGACUUGCCGGUAACGAGACUGAACGAGGUAUUGGGAUACCGACGAUCGAGUCUCGGGCAAGUAACGUACCGAUUGACAAAGGGAAUAGUAUACGGGGGUUGAUUGAAUCCUCGACAUCGUGGUUCAUCCGAUGACAUCAUCGAGGAGCAUGUGGGAGCCAACAUGGGUAUCCAGAUCCCGCUGUUGGUUAUUGACCGGAGAGCCGUCUCGGUCAUGUCUGCAUGUCUCCCGAACCCGUAGGGUCUACACACUUAAGGUUCGGUGAUGCUAGGGUUAUUAGGAAGACUUGUAUGUGAUUAACGAAUGUUGUUCGGAGUCCUGGAUGAGAUCCCGGAUGUCAUGAAGAGUUCCGGAAGGGUCCGGAGGUGAAGAUUUAUAUAUGGGAAGUUGUCAUGCGGACACCGGAAAGUUUCGGGGGCAUAUCGGUAUUGUACCGGGGCCACCGGAGGGGUUCCGGGGUUCCACCGGGAGGGGCCACCCCUCUUGGUGGGCCACAUGGGCCGCGUGGGGCAGGGAACCAGCCCCUGGAGGGCUGGGCGCCCCCCUUGGGCCCAUGCGCCUAGGGUUGGGGGGGGAACCCUAAAGGGGGUGCCCCCCUUUGCUUGGGGGGCAAGCCCCCUCCCUGGCCGCCGCCCCCCUCUAGAUCUCAUCUAGAGGGGGCCGGACCCCUUCCCCCUUCCCCUAUAAAUAGAGGGUUGAGGGGAGGGCUGAACACCUGAUCCAAGGCGCAGCCCCUCCCCUCCCCAACACCUCUCCUCCUUCGUUAGCACUUGGCGAAGCCCUGUCGGAGUACUGCCUCUCCACCAACACCACGCCGUCGUGCUGCUGCUGGAGCCUUCUUCCUCAACCUCUCCUUCCCCCUUGCUGGAUCAAGAAGGAGGAGACAUCGUCCGUACCGUACGUGUGUUGAACGCGGAGGUGCUGUCCGUUCAGCACUUGGUCAUCGGUGAUUUGAAUCACGGCGAGUACGACUCCAUCAUCACCGUUCCCUUGAACGCUUCCGCACGCGAUCUACAAAGUGGUAUGUAGAUGCAAUCUCUCUCCCAUGACUCGUUGCUUAGAUGAACUCAUAGAUGGAUCUUGGUGAAACCGUAGGAAAUUUUUUAAUUUUCUGCAACGUUCCCCAACAGUGGCAUCAUGAGCUAGGUCUUCGUAGUUCUCUAUUGCACGAGUAGAACACAAUUUUGUUGUGGGCGUAGAUCUUGUCAACUUGCUUUCCGCUACUAGUCUUUUCUUGCUUCAGCGGUAUUAUGGGAUGAAGCGGCCCGGACCGACCUUACACGUACGCUUACGUGAGACAGGUUCCACCGACCGACAUGCACUAGUUGCAUAAGGUGGCUAGCGGGUGUCUGUCUCUCCUACUUUAGUUGGAGCGGAUUAGAUGAAGAGGGUCCUUAUGAAGGGUAAAUAGAAGUUGACAAAAUCACGUUGUGGUUAUUCGUAGGUAAGAAAACGUUCUUGUUAGAACCCAAUUGCAGCCACGUAAAAGAUGCAACAACAAUUAGAGGACGUCUAACUUGUUUUUGCAGCAAUUGUCAUGUGAUGUGAUAUGGCCAGAAGUUGUGAUGAAUGAUGAAUGAUAUAUUGUGAUGUAUGAGAUCAUGUUCUUGUAAUAGGAAUCACGACUUGCAUGUCGAUGAAUAUGACAACCGGCAGGAGCCAUAGGAGUUGUCUUUAUUUUUCGUAUGACCUGCGUGUCAUUGAAGAACGCCAUGUAAAUUACUUUACUUUAUUGCUAAACGCGUUAGCUAUAGAAGUAGAAGUAGUCGUUGGCGUGACAACUUCAUGAAGACACAAUGAUGGAGAUCAUGAUGAUGGAGAUCAUGGUGUCAUGCCGGUGACGAAGAUGGAGAUCGAAGGAGCUAUAUGAUAUUGGCCAUAUCAUGUCACUACUAUAUAAUUGCAUGUGAUGUUUAUUAUGUUUUAUGCAUCUUGUUUACUUAGAACGGCGGUAGUAAAUAAGAUGGUCCCUUAUAAUAAUUUCAAGAAAGUGUUCCCCCUAACUGUGCACCGUUGUUAAAGUUCGUCGUUUCGAAGCACCACGUGAUGAUCGGGUGUGAUAGAUCCUUACGUUCACAUACAACGGGUGUAAGACAGAUUUACACAUGCAGAACACUUAGGGUUAACUUGACGAGCCUAGCAUGUACAGACAUGGCCUCGGAACACAGAGACCGAAAGGUCGAACAUGAGUCGUAUGGAAGAUACGAUCAACAUGGAGAUGUUCACCGAUGAUGACUAGUCCGUCUCACGUGAUGAUCGGACACGGCCUAGUCGACUCGGAUCGUGUAAACACUUAGAUGACUAGAGGGAUGUCUAAUCUGAGUGGGAGUUCAUUAAAUAAUUUGAUUAGAUGAACUUAAUUAUCAUGAACUUAGUUUAAAACUUUUGCAAAAUAUGUCUUGUAGAUCAAAUGGCCAACGCUCAUGUCAACAUGAACUUCAACGCGUUCCUAGAGAAAACCAAGCUGAAAGAUGAUGGCAGCAACUAUUCGGAUAGGGUUCGGAACCUGAGGAUCAUCCUCAUAGCAGCCAAGAAAGAUUAUGUCCUAGAUGCACCGCUAGGUGAAGCACCCAUCCCAGAGAACCAAGACGUUAUGAACACUUGGCAAUCACGUGCAGAUGAUUACUCCCUCGUUCAGUGCGGCAUGCUUUACAGCUUAGAACCGGGGCUCCAAAAGCGUUUUGAGAAGCACGGAGCAUAUGAGAUGUUCGAGGAGCUGAAAAUGGUUUUCCAAGCUCAUGCCCGGGUCGAGAGAUAUGAAGUCUCCGACAAGUUCUAUAGUUUUAAGAUGGAGGAAAACAGUUCUGUCAGUGAGCACAUACUCAAAAUGUCUGGGUUGCACAACCGCCUAUCCCAGUUGGAGAUCAAUCUCCCGGAAGAGGCGGUCAUUGACAGAAUCCUUUAGUCGCUCCCACCGAGCUACAAGAGCUUUGUGUUAAACUACAAUAUGCAGGGGAUGGUAAAGACCAUUCCUGAAGUAUUCUCAAUGCUAAAGUCAGCAGAGGUUGAAAUCAAGAAAGAACAUCAAGUGUUGAUGGUCAAUAAGACCACUAAGUUCAAGAAGGACAAGGGUAAGAAGAACUUCAAGAAGGACGGCAAAGAUGUUGCCGCGCCUGGUAAGCCAGUUGCUGGGAAGAAGUCAAAGAAUGGACCCAAGCCUGAGGCUGAGUGCUUUUAUUGCAAGGGGAAGGGUCACUGGAAGCGGAACUGCCCCAAAUACUUAGCGGACAAGAAGGCCGGCAACACUAAAGGUAUAUUUGAUAUACAUGUAAUUGAUGUGUACCUUACCAGUACUCGUAGUAACUCCUGGGUAUUUGAUACCGGUGCCGUUGCUCACAUUUGUAACUCACAGCAGGAGCUGCGAAAUAAGCGGAGACUGGCGAAGGACGAGGUGACGAUGCGCGUCGGGAAUGGUUCCAAGGUCGAUGUGAUCGCCGUCGGCACGCUACCUCUACAUUUACCUACGGGAUUAGUUUUAAACCUCAAUAAUUGUUAUUUAGUGCCAAGUUUGAGCAUGAACAUUGUAUCUGGAUCUCGUUUGAUACGAGAUGGCUACUCAUUUAAAUCCGAGAAUAAUGGUUGUUCUAUUUAUAUGAGAGAUAUGUUUUAUGGUCAUGCCCCGAUGGUCAAUGGUUUAUUCUUAAUGAAUCUCGAGCGUAAUGUUACACAUAUUCAUAGUGUGAAUACCAAAAGAUGUAAAGUUGAUAACGAUAGUCCCACAUACUUGUGGCACUGCCGCCUUGGUCACAUUGGUGUCAAGCGCAUGAAGAAGCUCCAUGCUGAUGGACUUUUAGAGUCUCUAGAUUAUGAAUCAUUUGACACAUGCGAACCAUGCCUCAUGGGCAAAAUGACCAAGACCCCGUUCUCCGGAACAAUGGAGCGAGCAACCAACUUAUUGGAAAUCAUACACACUAAUGUGUGUGGUCCAAUGAGCGUUGAGGCUCGCGGAGGAUAUCGUUAUGUUCUCACUCUCACUGAUGACUUGAGUAGAUAUGGGUAUGUCUACUUGAUGAAACACAAGUCUGGGACCUUUGAAAAGUUCAAGGAAUUUCAAAAUGAAGUAGAGAAUCAACGUGAUCGAAAGAUAAAAUUCUUACGAUCGGAUCAUGGAGGAGAAUAUUUAAGUCACGAAUUUGGUACACACUUAAGAAAAUGUGGAAUCAUUUCACAACUCACGCCGCCUGGAACACCUCAGCGUAACGGUGUGUCCGAACGUCGUAAUCGCACUCUAUUGGAUAUGGUGCGAUCUAUGAUGUCCCUUACCGAUUUACCGCUAUCAUUUUGGGGAUACGCUCUAGAGACAGCUACAUUCACUUUAAAUAGGGCACCGUCUAAAUCCGUUGAGAUAACACCGUAUGAAUUAUGGUUUGGGAAGAAACCUAAGCUGUCGUUUCUGAAAGUUUGGGGAUGCGAUGCUUAUGUCAACAAACUUCAACCUGAAAAGCUCGAACCCAAGUCAGAAAAUGCGUCUUCAUUGGAUACCCCAAAGAAACCAUUGGGUAUACCUUCUACUUAAGAUCCGAGGGCAAGAUCUUUGUUGCCAAGAACGGAUCCUUUCUGGAAAAAGAGUUUCUCUCGAAAGGAGUAAGUGGGAGGAAAGUAGAACUCGAUGAAGUACUACCUCUUGAACCGGAAAGUAGUGCAGCUCAGGAAAACGUUCCUGUGGUGCCUACACCGAAUGGAGAGGAAAUUAAAGAUGAUGAUCAAGGUACUUCUGAUCAAGUUGCUACUGAACUUCGUAGGUCCACAAGGACACGUUCCACACUAGAGUGGUAUGGCAACCCUGUCCUGGAAAUCAUGUUGUUAGACAACGAUGAACCUUCGAACUAUGAAGAAGCGGUGGCAGGCCCAGAUUCCAACAAAUGGCUUGAAGCCAUGCAAUCUGAGAUAGAAUCCAUGUAUGAAAACAAAGUAUGGACUUUGACUGACUUGCCCGAUGAUCGGCGAGCGAUAGAAAACAAAUGGAUCUUUAAGAAGAAGACGGACGCGGAUGGUAAUGUCACCAUCUAUAAAGCUCGACUUGUCGCUAAGGGUUAUCGGCAAGUUCAAGGGAUUGACUACGAUGAGACUUUCUCUCCCGUAGCGAAGCUUAAUGUCACGCCCAAUAUGCGACCCUAUCCAAAAGGAACGCGAAGGUCCCAUCAAGGAUAGACCCGCAUAUUGAAACGCUUUUGCAAGGUGGAUAUCAUUACAUCAACAUUACAUAAUAGAUGGGGAUACAUACAUAAGGCAUACAAUGCCACACGAAUACAACAUCACAAUACAUAGAGCAUCACACAACUACGGAUGAAACACAAACAGAAACUCAAACGACAUCCACCCUGCUAGCCCAGGCUGCCGACCUGGAACCUAUCCCCCGAUCGAAGGAGCAGAAGAAGAACUCAACGCAAGCAAGCAUCGCUCUCGCGUCAUGAUCAUCGCACAACCUGUACCUGCAACUGUUGUUGUAGUAAUCUGUGAGCCAUGAG
Molecule: long non-coding RNA, 42535 nt
Filed under: Triticum aestivum (bread wheat)
Lineage: Eukaryota; Viridiplantae; Streptophyta; Magnoliopsida; Poales; Poaceae
Description: long non-coding RNA (TAES_LNC008481)
Rfam family: Small nucleolar RNA Z247 (bases 26959-27097)
Source: RNAcentral